This 430-nucleotide ribosomal RNA is filed under the name uncultured bacterium. RNAcentral describes it as "partial 16S ribosomal RNA". It matches the Rfam family "Bacterial small subunit ribosomal RNA", at positions 355 to 776 of the family's 1533-position model. The record is from RNAcentral.
UAGGGAAUAUUGCACAAUGGGCGCAAGCCUGAUGCAGCCAUGCCGCGUGUGUGAAGAAGGCCUUCGGGUUGUAAAGCACUUUCAGCGAGGAGGAAGGGUUCAGUGUUAAUAGCACUGUUCAUUGACGUUACUCGCAGAAGAAGCACCGGCUAACUCCGUGCCAGCAGCCGCGGUAAUACGGAGGGUGCAAGCGUUAAUCGGAAUUACUGGGCGUAAAGCGCACGCAGGCGGUUUGUUAAGUCAGAUGUGAAAUCCCCGCGCUUAACGUGGGAACUGCAUUUGAAACUGGCAAGCUAGAGUCUUGUAGAGGGGGGUAGAAUUCCAGGUGUAGCGGUGAAAUGCGUAGAGAUCUGGAGGAAUACCGGUGGCGAAGGCGGCCCCCCUGGACAAAGACUGACGCUCAGGUGCGAAAGCGUGGGGAGCAAACAGG